Erinaceus europaeus (western European hedgehog) is the source of this 107-nucleotide small nuclear RNA. Lineage: Eukaryota; Metazoa; Chordata; Mammalia; Eulipotyphla; Erinaceidae. The record is from Ensembl.
GUGUUCGCUUCGGCAGCACAUAUACUAAAAUUGGAACGAUACAGAGAAGAUUAGCAUGGCCCCUGAACAAAGAUGAUAUGCAAAUUUAUGAAGCAUUCCAUAUUUUU